CCUACGGGGGGCUGCAGUGGGGAAUAUUGGACAAUGGGGGCAACCCUGAUCCAGCCAUGCCGCGUGUGUGAAGAAGGCCUUCGGGUUGUAAAGCACUUUAAGCGGGGAGGAAGGCUCUAUGGCUAAUAUCCAUGGGGAUUGACGUUACCCGCAGAAUAAGCACCGGCAAACUUCGUGCCAGCAGCCGCGGUAAUACGAAGGGUGCAAGCGUUAAUCGGAAUUACUGGGCGUAAAGCGCGCGUAGGUGGUCUGGUAAGCGAUAUGUGAAAUCCCCG
Molecule: ribosomal RNA, 275 nt
Filed under: uncultured bacterium
Lineage: Bacteria
Description: partial 16S ribosomal RNA
Rfam family: Bacterial small subunit ribosomal RNA
Source: RNAcentral